GAUGAACGCUGGCGGCGUGCCUCAAACAUGCAAGUCGAGCGGGGCUAUGUAAUACCGCAAGGUAGAACAUAGCCUAGCGGCGAACGGGUGAGUAACACGUGGGUAACCUGCCUGGAAGACAGGGAUAACGAUUCGAAAGGGUCGCUAAUACCUGAUAAUAUCCUUUCAUCGCAUGGUGAUAGGAAGAAAGGGGAAACCCGCUUUCAGAUGGGCCCGCGUCCCAUCAGCUAGUUGGUAAGGUAAAGGCUUACCAAGGCGACGACGGGUAGCCGGUCUGAGAGGAUGUACGGCCACACUGGGACUGAGAUACGGCCCAGACUCCUACGGGAGGCAGCAGUUGGGAAUCUUAGGCAAUGGACGAAAGUCUGACCUAGCGACGCCGCGUGAGGGAAGAAGGCCUUCGGGUUGUAAAACCUCUGUCAUGGGGAAGAAGUAAGUGACGGUACCCCAAGAGGAAGCCCCUGCUAACUACGUG
Molecule: ribosomal RNA, 475 nt
Filed under: uncultured bacterium
Lineage: Bacteria
Description: bacterial SSU rRNA
Rfam family: Bacterial small subunit ribosomal RNA
Source: RNAcentral